GAUGAACGCUGGCGGCGUGCCUAAUACAUGCAAGUCGAGCGAACGGACGAGAAGCUUGCUUCUCUGAUGUUAGCGGCGGACGGGUGAGUAACACGUGGAUAACCUACCUAUAAGACUGGGAUAACUUCGGGAAACCGGAGCUAAUACCGGAUAAUAUUUUGAACCGCAUGGUUCAAAAGUGAAAGACGGUCUUGCUGUCACUUAUAGAUGGAUCCGCGCUGCAUUAGCUAGUUGGUAAGGUAACGGCUUACCAAGGCAACGAUGCAUAGCCGACCUGAGAGGGUGAUCGGCCACACUGGAACUGAGACACGGUCCAGACUCCUACGGGAGGCAGCAAUAGGGAAUCUUCCGCAAUGGGCGAAAGCCUGACAGAGCAACGCCGCGUGAGUGAUGAAGGUCUUCGGAUCGUAAAACUCUGUUAUUAGGGAAGAACAUAUGUGUAAGUAACUGUGCACAUCUUGACGGUACCUAAUCAGAAAGCCACGGCUAACUACGUG
RNAcentral lists this ribosomal RNA (497 nucleotides) under uncultured bacterium. Its description in RNAcentral is "partial 16S ribosomal RNA". It matches the Rfam family "Bacterial small subunit ribosomal RNA", at positions 28 to 507 of the family's 1533-position model. The record is from RNAcentral.